This 86-nucleotide transfer RNA is filed under the name Candidatus Micrarchaeota archaeon RBG_16_49_10. RNAcentral's name for it is "tRNA-Leu". It matches the Rfam family "tRNA". From Rfam's summary of the family: Transfer RNA (tRNA) molecules are approximately 80 nucleotides in length. Their secondary structure includes four short double-helical elements and three loops (D, anti-codon, and T loops). The record is from RNAcentral. Lineage: Archaea; Nanobdellati; Microcaldota.
GCAGGGGUCGGAUAGCAUGGCCAAUUCCGUUAGGUUCAGAGCCUAAUCCCUUAGUGGGUUCGAGAGUUCAAAUCUCUCCCCCUGCA